UGUUUGUUGCUUAAGGGCGCAUGGUGGAUGCCUUGGCAUGCUGGGCCGAUGAAGGACGUGUGAGGCUGCGUUAUGCCUCGGGGAGUUGUCAACAAAGCGUUGAUCCGAGGAUGUCCGAAUGGGGAAACCCGGCCACGGUUGUGUGUGGUCACCGUAUGAUGAAUUCAUAGUUGUGCGGGGGUGAUACCGGGAAGUGAAACAUCUCAGUACCGGUGGGAGAGGAAAAUAAUAAUGAUUCUGUUAGUAGCGGCGAGCGAACGCGGAUGAGGCUAAACCGUGUGCGUGUGAUACCUGGCAGGGGUUGCGUGUGCGGUGUUGUGGGGUGCGAUGGUCAACGAUCUGCCAGUCGUUGCAUUUCUAGUGCGUGUUAGCGGAAGUGGCCUGGGAUGGUCUGCCGGAGUAGGUGAGAGUCCUGUACGUGAAGGCGUGUGCUGGUUGUGUGUCGUGUUUGCCCCGAGUAGCAGCGGGCUCGUGGAAUCUGCUGUGAAUCUGCCGGGACCACCCGGUAAGCCUAAAUACCUAGUGUGACCGAUAGUGGAUAGUACCGUGAGGGAAUGGUGAAAAGUACCCCGGGAGGGGAGUGAAAGAGUUCCUGAAACUGUGCGCUUACAAUCCGUCAGAGCACCUUCUGUGUGUGUGAUGGCGUGCCUUUUGAAGAAUGAGCCUGCGAGUCAGCGGCAUGUCGCGAGGUUAACCCGUUUGGGGUAGUCGUAGCGAAAGCGAAUGCUAAUUGUGUGUUUUAAGUGGCAUGUCCUGGACCCGAAGCGGGGUGAUCUACCCAUGGCCAGUGUGAAGCAGCUGUAAGAGGUUGUGGAGGCGCGAACCCACGUAGGUUGAAAACUGCGGGGAUGAGUUGUGGGUAGGGGUGAAAGGCCAAUCAAACUCCGUGAUAGCUGGUUCUCCCCGAAAUGCAUUUAGGUGCAGCGUCGCGUAGGUGUGCCGGAGGUAGAGCUACUGGUUGGUUGAGCGGGACUAUCAUCUUAGCAAUGUCAGCCAAACUCCGAAUGCCGGUUUACAUUGGUGCGCGGCAGUGAGACUGUGGGGGAUAAGCUUCAUAGUCGAGAGGGAAACAGCCCAGAUCGCCGGUUAAGGCCCCUAAGGGUGU
Molecule: ribosomal RNA, 1105 nt
Filed under: Corynebacterium sp. CCUG 71335
Lineage: Bacteria; Bacillati; Actinomycetota; Actinomycetes; Mycobacteriales; Corynebacteriaceae
Description: partial 23S ribosomal RNA
Rfam family: Bacterial large subunit ribosomal RNA
Source: RNAcentral